Molecule: ribosomal RNA, 253 nt
Filed under: uncultured bacterium
Lineage: Bacteria
Description: partial 16S ribosomal RNA
Rfam family: Bacterial small subunit ribosomal RNA
Source: RNAcentral
UACGUAGGGUGCAGGCGUUAAUCGGAAUUACUGGGCGUAAAGCGUGCGCAGGCGGUCUGCUAAGAGAGGUGUGAAAUCCCCGGGCUUAACCUGGGAACUGCGCUUCUAACUGGCAGGCUUGAGUGUGGCAGAGGGGGGUGGAAUUCCACGUGUAGCAGUGAAAUGCGUAGAUAUCAGGAGGAAUACCGAUGGCGAAGGCAGGUCUCUGGGCUAUAACUGACGCUCAUGCACGAAAGCGUGGGGAGCAAACAGG